This 265-nucleotide ribosomal RNA is filed under the name uncultured Staphylococcus sp. Its description in RNAcentral is "partial 16S ribosomal RNA". It matches the Rfam family "Bacterial small subunit ribosomal RNA", at positions 96 to 354 of the family's 1533-position model. Lineage: Bacteria; Bacillati; Bacillota; Bacilli; Caryophanales; Staphylococcaceae. The record is from RNAcentral.
CGGCGGACGGUGAGUAACACGUGGGUAACCUACCUAUAAGACUGGGACAACUUCGGGAAACCGGAGCUAAUACCGGAUAAGAUAUCGAACCGCAUGGUUCGAUAGUGAAAGAUGGUUUUGCUAUCACUUAUAGAUGGACCCGCGCCGUAUUAGCUAGUUGGUGAGGUAACGGCUCACCAAGGCAACGAUACGUAGCCGACCUGAGAGGGUGAUCGGCCACACUGGAACUGAGACACGGUCCAGACUCCUACGGGAGGCAGCAGNU